AGUGAACGCUGGCGGUAGGCCUAACACAUGCAAGUCGAACGGCAGCACAGUAAGAGCUUGCUCUUACGGGUGGCGAGUGGCGGACGGGUGAGGAAUACAUCGGAAUCUACUUUUUCGUGGGGGAUAACGUAGGGAAACUUACGCUAAUACCGCAUACGACCUACGGGCGAAAGCAGGGGAUCUUCGGACCUUGCGCGAUUGAAUGAGCCGAUGUCGGAUUAGCUAGUUGGCGGGGUAAAGGUCCACCAAGGCGACGAUCCGUAGCUGGUCUGAGAGGAUGAUCAGCCACACUGGAACUGAGACACGGUCCAGACUCCUACGGGAGGCAGCAGUGGGGAAUAUUGGACAAUGGGCGCAAGCCUGAUCCAGCCAUACCGCGUGGGUGAAGAAGGCCUUCGGGUUGUAAAGCCCUUUUGUUGGGAAAGAAAAGCAGCAGGUUAAUACCCCGCUGUUCUGACGGUACCCAAAGAAUAAGCACCGGCUAACUUCGUG
Molecule: ribosomal RNA, 492 nt
Filed under: uncultured bacterium
Lineage: Bacteria
Description: partial 16S ribosomal RNA
Rfam family: Bacterial small subunit ribosomal RNA
Source: RNAcentral